RNAcentral lists this long non-coding RNA (493 nucleotides) under Mytilus galloprovincialis (Mediterranean mussel). Lineage: Eukaryota; Metazoa; Mollusca; Bivalvia; Mytilida; Mytilidae. The record is from RNAcentral.
CCCUCAGAUAUCCUUAAACAUUAGUCAUGCAAAUUUAAAAAAAAAUUGUAUUUUAAACCAAAGCGUUAUCGGUUCUUCCUUAGAUUGUGAACUUCGCUAUUUUCGCCUUCACCUAUUAUGUCUGUUUGUUUUGUUCACACAUUAUUAUCAAUAUAAUGAAAUCUGAUGCAACUGUCAUACAGCUGAGGAGUUUAGCCAGCUAAAUAUCAGGUUUAAUUCACCAUUUUCCACAAAAGAAAAAAGUCAGGAAUAAGACAGUUGUUGUCCAUUCGUGGGAGAUGUUUGAGCUUUUGAUAUUGCUUUUUGAGGGACUUUCCUUUUUGAAUUUUCCUCGGAGUUCAGUCUUGUUUCGUUUUUGUACUUUUAACCCAAAAAAAUCCAACAACAUAUAUUUGAUACUUAAAUGCAUUAUAUAGUUUUGAAUGUCUAAUGAUUGGUUAAGCUUUAGUUUAUAAACGAAAUCAAAUUAGCAGAAAUUGUUAAUUUUAAAAAC